UCCUCCCUCAAACCUCUUGGGGUUUGGUGUUGGACCAGGCGGGGUGUUUGGCCCCUCCGGUCUCAAAGACAAUGACGGCGUCCGUGGGACCCUCGGUGCAACGAGCUUUUCGAAGCACGCGUCGAGUGCCUGUCCCCUCCGGGCCGGUCCAGCCUUUUUUAAUCUUUCUA
Molecule: unclassified non-coding RNA, 170 nt
Filed under: uncultured Chaetothyriales
Lineage: Eukaryota; Fungi; Ascomycota; Eurotiomycetes; Chaetothyriales
Description: sequence contains ITS2
Source: RNAcentral